ACAUGAUUCCCCUAGUAACGGCGAGUGAAGAGGGAAAAGCUCAUACCCUAAAUCNAUAUGAAUAAUAUUGAAUUGUAGUUUAUAAACAUUGAGUUAAAAUAAUUAAAAUUAUAUUAAGUUUACUGGAAAGUAACUUCAUAGAGGGUGAUAAACCCGUAAUUAAUAUAAUUUUUUUAAUUUAAUACUCUUUAUUACAGAGUCAGAUUGUUUGGGAAUGCAAUCUAAAAUUGGAGGUAAAUUUCUCCUAAAGCUAAAUAUAUGCAAGAGACCGAUAGCGAACAAGUACCGUGAGGGAAAGAUGAAAAGAACCUUGAAAAGGGGGUUAAAUAGUACGUGAAAUUGUUAAAAGGAAAGCAAUUGAAGCUUUCAAUAAAUUAGUAAAUUCAUAUUACUUUUAAGUAAUAGUAUUUUUAUUAAUUUUGUCAAUAAUGAUUUAAAAUAAAUUAAAAAUUUAAUUUCAAAGUAGAUAGAUAAUUAUUUAUUUAUCACUUAUAGGCUAUUAAAAAUAAUUUAUUUUGGAUUAUAUAUACAAAUCAUUAUUAAGGUUAGUUAGUGAUUACUGUUAAUUAAAUAAUGAAAUUUUUUAAAUAUUAUUGUUUAAUUGAUAUAUUUAUCUAAAUUAAUUACUUAUGAUUUUUAUUGACUAAAUGGCUUUAAUUAUCCCGUCUUGAAACACGGACCAAGGAGUCUAACAUACCUGCGAGUAUUAGGGUUUUUAAACCCAAACUGCAUAAUGAAAGUGAAUUAAAGGUAUGAAUUAUUAAUUUAAUGCAAUACCGACCGAUCUUAAUUAAAUUAUUUUUGUAAGAUUUGAGUAAGAGCAAUUAUGUUAGGACCCGAAAGAUGGUGAACUAUGCCUGAAUAGAAUGAAGCCAGGUGAAAACCUGGUGGAGGUUCGUGCACGGUUCUGACGUGCAAAUCGAUCGUUGAAUUUGGGUAUAGGGGGCGAAAGACUA
RNAcentral lists this ribosomal RNA (956 nucleotides) under Microconidiobolus paulus. RNAcentral describes it as "eukaryotic LSU rRNA". It matches the Rfam family "Eukaryotic large subunit ribosomal RNA", at positions 69 to 933 of the family's 3401-position model. The record is from RNAcentral. Lineage: Eukaryota; Fungi; Entomophthoromycota; Entomophthoromycetes; Entomophthorales; Conidiobolaceae.